This 898-nucleotide ribosomal RNA is filed under the name uncultured bacterium. RNAcentral describes it as "bacterial SSU rRNA". It matches the Rfam family "Bacterial small subunit ribosomal RNA", at positions 11 to 915 of the family's 1533-position model. The record is from RNAcentral.
GUUUGAUCCUGGCUCAGGAUGAACGCUAGCGGCAGGCUUAACACAUGCAAGUCGAGGGGUAUAGUUCUUCGGAACUAGAGACCGGCGCACGGGUGCGUAACGCGUAUGCAAUCUACCUUUCACAGAGGGAUAGCCCAGAGAAAUUUGGAUUAAUACCUCAUAGUAUAAUGAGUUGGCAUCAACACAUUAUUAAAGUUACAACGGUGAAAGAUGAGCAUGCGUCCCAUUAGCUAGAUGGUAAGGUAACGGCUUACCAUGGCUACGAUGGGUAGGGGUCCUGAGAGGGAGAUCCCCCACACUGGUACUGAGACACGGACCAGACUCCUACGGGAGGCAGCAGUGAGGAAUAUUGGACAAUGGGCGCAAGCCUGAUCCAGCCAUGCCGCGUGCAGGAUGACGGUCCUAUGGAUUGUAAACUGCUUUUGUACAGGAAGAAACACUGGUUCGUGAACCAGCUUGACGGUACUGUAAGAAUAAGGAUCGGCUAACUCCGUGCCAGCAGCCGCGGUAAUACGGAGGAUCCAAGCGUUAUCCGGAAUCAUUGGGUUUAAAGGGUCCGUAGGCGGUUUAGUAAGUCAGUGGUGAAAGCCCAUCGCUCAACGGUGGAACGGCCAUUGAUACUGCUAAACUUGAAUUAUUAGGAAGUAACUAGAAUAUGUAGUGUAGCGGUGAAAUGCUUAGAGAUUACAUGGAAUACCAAUUGCGAAGGCAGGUUACUACUAAUGGAUUGACGCUGAUGGACGAAAGCGUGGGUAGCGAACAGGAUUAGAUACCCUGGUAGUCCACGCCGUAAACGAUGGAUACUAGCUGUUGGAAGCAAUUUCAGUGGCUAAGCGAAAGUGAUAAGUAUCCCACCUGGGGAGUACGUUCGCAAGAAUGAAACUCAAAGGAAUUGACG